AGAGUAUGCUACGGAGGGCAGCAGUGGGGAAUAUUGCACAAUGGGGGAAACCCUGAUGCAGCGACGCCGAGUGAGGGAAGAAGGUUUUCGGAUUGUAAACCUCUGUCCUUGGUGAAGAUAAUGACGGUAACCAAGGAGGAAGCUACGGCUAACUACGUGCC
Molecule: ribosomal RNA, 161 nt
Filed under: uncultured bacterium
Lineage: Bacteria
Description: partial 16S ribosomal RNA
Rfam family: Bacterial small subunit ribosomal RNA
Source: RNAcentral